AUUUCAUGGACUAAAUUGGACAAAGCAAGCAAACAAUCUCCUUCGCAUUGAUUUCCAAAUCAAAUCAUUGUUAAUCACAUCAAUAUUCCCUGCUGAUUCAACAAUCUCCGUGGCCAGCUUUCUGGCUCAAACAAGCUCCUCCGCAUGGAUGCUGUGGAGCCCUCUGUGCGUGCUGCCCAGGUUUGCUAUUAAUUAUUGUUGGAAGCAUUCAAGUCUGAUUCUCUCACCUCUUCUUUCUCACUCCUUUUCCCCUCAUGCAGCAAGGAAGAAACUGAAAUACCAUUCUUCACUUGACAUUGGAUUUCUAACCUCUCUCAGUGAUGUGAGCCUAGUGCUAAAAUACAGAUCCAGGGCACCACUGGCUUACCUGUAAGCAAUCACAAUGCCUCAGCUGCUGGGAAACGUGGCAGACAUUUCAGUGUGGAGGAACUGUGUGCAGGAGAGAGUGCUCUGGUUUGCAGUGGGAAGCUGGUGUGAGGAAUUAAAGCUCCUGUUGUGACAGAGAUGACAACAAAAGCAGAAAACUUCCUCGUGCAGAAGGAAAACCCGUCAACUGAGACAUUCAGAGUUCUUGAAUAAUUAAAGCCACUUUACAUCCAGGAUGAUCCAUAAAGGAAGGCAUUUGGCAUGUGAAAAGCUGAAAAGAGUGGAAGACUUUGGGGUAUCAGCAGUGAGCAGCAAGCAACUGAGAUUGUUAAUGCUACAGUAAGCCGCCUCCUUUGCACAUCUCUACGGGAUCAUGGAAAGAGGCCAAUUGCUGGAUUUCUGUACUUUAUCUUGAUUAAAUGGCUGUUUCAAUUUGGUA
Long non-coding RNA from Strigops habroptila (Kakapo), 805 nucleotides. RefSeq lists it as uncharacterized. NCBI's taxonomy places the organism in Eukaryota, Metazoa, Chordata, Aves, Psittaciformes, Psittacidae. The transcript is spliced from 3 exons. The record is from RefSeq and is a predicted model, not a curated record.